This 534-nucleotide ribosomal RNA is filed under the name Clostridioides difficile. RNAcentral describes it as "bacterial LSU rRNA". It matches the Rfam family "Bacterial large subunit ribosomal RNA", at positions 1 to 538 of the family's 2925-position model. The record is from RNAcentral. Lineage: Bacteria; Bacillati; Bacillota; Clostridia; Peptostreptococcales; Peptostreptococcaceae.
UGGUCAAGUUAUUAAGGGUGCAGGGCGGAUGCCUUGGCACUAGGAGCCGAUGAAGGACGUGAUAAGCUGCGAUAAGCUUCGGGGAGUUGCACGUAAACUUUGAUCCGAAGAUUUCCGAAUGAGGAAACUCACUUAGAGUAAUGUCUAAGUAUCAUUAAGUGAAUACAUAGCUUAAUGAGGGGAACUCAGGGAACUGAAACAUCUAAGUACCUGAAGGAAGAGAAAGAAAUUCGAUUCCGUAAGUAGCGGCGAGCGAACGCGGAUUAGCCAAAACCAAUAAAGUUUUCUUUAUUGGGGUUGCGGACAUAUCAUAACGAAGAGGUAUCGUAAUUGAAGAGGUUUGGAAAGACCCACCACAGAAGGUAAUAGUCCUGUAUGUUAAACGAGAAGACUUUAGAUAUGAUCCAGAGUACCACGGGACACGUGAAACCCUGUGGGAAGCAGGAGGGACCACCCUCCAAGGCUAAAUACUACCUAGUGACCGAUAGCGUAUAGUACCGUGAGGGAAAGGUGAAAAGAACCCCGGGAGGGGAG